RNAcentral lists this long non-coding RNA (214 nucleotides) under Capsicum annuum. RNAcentral's name for it is "long non-coding RNA (CANN_LNC006689)". Lineage: Eukaryota; Viridiplantae; Streptophyta; Magnoliopsida; Solanales; Solanaceae. The record is from RNAcentral.
GUCCUGGGAGUACUUGUACCCAAAACAUUAUUUAUGUUCUUAGAGCCAUGUCAUGUUUCCACGAUACUCUCAGUUAAGCUAUGAUUCCUUAGACUUCAGACAAUCUUGUGACUCAGGAAAUCUCCAUAAUCUCAUGAACUCAGUCAGUUGUCAGAUAUCAGUAAGAUUCCGUCAGUCAAUGGAAUUCAGUAACUCAGUCCUUGUUCACUUUAGU